Molecule: transfer RNA, 75 nt
Filed under: Planctomycetaceae bacterium
Lineage: Bacteria; Pseudomonadati; Planctomycetota; Planctomycetia; Planctomycetales; Planctomycetaceae
Also listed under: 1 other name
Description: tRNA-Cys
Rfam family: tRNA
About the family: Transfer RNA (tRNA) molecules are approximately 80 nucleotides in length.
Source: RNAcentral
GGCGGCGUAGCCAAGUGGUAAGGCGGAAGUCUGCAAAACUUCUAUGCGUCGGUUCAAUUCCGACCGCCGCCUUCA